Long non-coding RNA from Humulus lupulus (European hop), 2994 nucleotides. RefSeq lists it as uncharacterized. Lineage: Eukaryota; Viridiplantae; Streptophyta; Magnoliopsida; Rosales; Cannabaceae. The record is from RefSeq and is a predicted model, not a curated record. The transcript is spliced from 5 exons.
UUGUGUUAUAUUUUUUCCCUCUUAUACGGAAUACUCUCUCUCUCAUUUUCCCAAACCCUAGCUGAAAAAAAAAUUGGUAAAGACUAAACCUUGAAUAUCACCACCUCUCUUGGAUGCAACCAUCUUUGUAUAUCCCUUUUUCUGACGAAGGAAAAUCAUGGGACAAAUCCAACUCCUUCUCUUUGUCCCUUUACCAUUAGAUAUGGUUAGACACAACAAGCCAUUUUAUAUUUAUAAUCAUAAGUACACAAUGUAUUGAGUUUUGGGAUCUUAUUUGGAACAUAUUGUAGAUUUUGGCUCCACAAGCCUUUGAGCUCUCCCAAGCCUUAGAACCAUCCUACCAAGAAAGUUCAUCAACUCAUUGAUAUUCUUCUGGGAGAGAGUGAUAUAUAUGAACUUUUUUUUUGAAACAUUGCAAGGGGAGGAGAGUUAAGGUGACUUUUUGUGAAGCUAGAUUUUAUUGCUGAGGUGAAUUGAGAGAGCCAAUAAUGUCAAGGUAAAGUUGAUUUAUAUUAUUGACAACAGUAGUGUGGUUCAGUAGACUUUUUUUUUCUUCGCACAAAUCAAUCAAUAUAAGAGCAGGGGGAGCAUUGUAUUUAAACGUUGAUCUUCCUGUCCUUUAUUUGUUGGCUAGUUAAAUUGUUGAAAGUUUGUUUAUUAAUUUGAUGCAGAGUCUGUAGUUGACAAUGGAAAUGGAUAUUUAGUGGUAGUUUAUUUUCUAGAAAAUUUAAUCUUGUCAAAUAUAGAAAUGAACUUACUAAAUAGUGUAAAUGCUUGUCAAACCUCUUACUCUGAUUAUGGAUUCUAUGCUUACUUUUUUGUUCAAUUCAUUUUCUCAUAUAUGGCUAUUAAUCUAUUACAUAGCUCUUCCUUAGACAUAGAUGAAUAACUUUAAAAAUUGGUACCCUUGGUCAUGAAGAGAUAUGCAAUUAUAGUAAUAAGACAUAUAUGACUUAAGAGUCGCAACUAGUUUAAUAUUUUUUCUAUGUUUGUUUUAAUGCAGAAACUUCUGAUAGUAUUUGUCUCAUUUAUUCUUUUACUUAAUCAUUCUUAUUCCACACCAAAACCUUAUCUUCAAAUAAUAAUUUCUACACUAGUUCUUACAAAAAUUUACUAGUAGGCUACUCAAAGCUAUUUGAGCUAUCUAUAUAUUGAUUCACUUUUUGUUGUAUUGACGUACGUCUUGUCUUUAUAAUGUAAUUGAUUUAAAUUAUAAAGCAUUUUUUUUCAUUAGAAUGACUUUUAAUGAAACUAUAUGUAUUGUAGAGUCUAAAUUUUACAUCUUUGUGACACUUUUACUUGCAUUACUUGAUUCUGUUUCUUCUUAUGCCCAUUUCAUAAAAAAUUUCUUAUACCAACCAAUGAGAGACAAAAUUAUUGAUUUUAUAAGAGCACCAUCAAUUACUUGUCUUUUGCAUAGACUGUGCUAGUGCAAGUGAUUGCCAAAGGAUAUAAUUCAUACAUGAACCCUGUUGGACAUCAUUGCUCUAAGUAUCACUCUAUGUGGUUCACUAUUAAUUACUUUUUAGCUCAUUGUCCCAUAAUUUUCAUAUAAGUUUUGUUUCUAAUUAACAUAACAAUUUACUUCUUUCUUUGCUAAUAAUUUAAUGAUCUAUUUUGCAAUUUGUAGGUAAUGAGAUUGUAUUUCCUCAGAGCAAAAUUAAGGAAUAUUUAUUGCGGUCUUUAGAAUUAAAUAAUUUAUUUAUCCACAACUUUGUACACUUCUUGUUAUUUCUUAGAUGUUGAAUUUAGCAACUAGCAUUACUUUGAAGGUUUAAGAAAUAUACUAGAAUUCAUAUUUUUGCUAUUAUUUCGCUUUCUUGACAAGAAACAGAUUUUAGUUUUUUAAUACAAAAAGAUAACGUAUCAUCUUAAACAGCACACUUUAAAAUCUUUUUUAUUGAAUAUCCAAGGAUCAACUCAAAAUUUGAUUAUGCAGUAUGCCACAUAUUUGGCCAGCUAAAACUGGUCAUGUAAUUGUACCCAUAUUCAAUUUACUUUCUUUGUCUAAUAGAACAUUCAAAUGCUGGCUUCUCACUUAUUGUUUCUGCUUCUAUGAUGAUCCUUGUGUUGCAUUCUGGAGUCAUAUCUGAAAUAAUAAAUGAAGUUGAAGAAAGCCUUAAAAGAUCAAGUUUUCUUGAGGACUUUAGAAUGAUUGAGCUUCCAAAUUUGAUUGAGUUGCUUGAACUUCUGGGUGAGGGAAAUGGAUAUCUUGCUGGUAAAGUAGUGAAAGUUCUACAAGACAUGUUUGAAAUUAUAACCAAUGAUAUGAUGGUUAAUUCUUCAGGUUGGAUGCUUUCGGACUUACCAUUCUUUUGUAAGAUCAGAAGUUAACAUGUUUUAUAUACUAAUACUACCAUACUUCAUGUUCAAAUCACAUAGAGCAGGUGAUUAAACUUGUAACAUUCAUUUAAACAUAUAAUUACAUUUGUAAACUUUUGUGAUUUUCAAUCAUGAUUUGGUGCUUGUCUUUUCAUUUUGUUCAUGUAUAGCUUUUGAUACUCAUUCCAUUGAACUGAUGAUUAUGAACCUUUAAGUAAUUGCUAGUGCUCUCACAUUUGGAUUUUUAAACCUUUACAACUUGUGAACUUAUUGAAUUAAAAAAAAACACAUCCUUACACAUUUAGUAAGCUAUUAGCUGGCUUAGGAUGAUAAUAAUAAUUUUUGCUUGAUUAAUUUCAUAUCUGACAGGUUACAACUAAGUUCUUAUGUGUAUAUUGUACUAGAAUCUUACUUAUUUCGUCCUAAUAAUGCGAUGCUUACAAUACAAGCCUUCUAAAAAAGUUAUUCCAUGAGAUGUGACAAGCAAAAUAGAAAAUGAUACUUAAUUUUGAAAGCUUUGUGUUGGGCAGCUGUAGAAUAUUUUGUGCUAAAGUAAUAACUUUUCAAUAUGUUGAAUAUUUAAGACUACUUGAAUACUUAAAGAACAUUUUGUUGUUGAUGACAGUGUUGAAUGUUUUAAACUAAUUUGUGGAUUGUUAAUACAAUGUUGAA